RNAcentral lists this ribosomal RNA (375 nucleotides) under uncultured prokaryote. RNAcentral describes it as "bacterial SSU rRNA". It matches the Rfam family "Bacterial small subunit ribosomal RNA", at positions 524 to 896 of the family's 1533-position model. The record is from RNAcentral.
UACGAAGGGUGCGAGCGUUAUUCGGAAUGACUGGGCGUAAAGAGUGUUAAGGCGGUCUAUUAAGUCAGCUGUUAAAUUCCUUGGCUCAACCGAGGGUCCGCAGUUGAUACUGAAUGACUAGAGUGUAGGAGAGAAGAGUAGAAUUCUCGGAGUAGCGGUAAAAUGCGUAGAUCUCGAGAGGAAUACCGGUUGCGAAGGCGGCUCUUUAGCCUACUACUGACGCUCAAGCACGAAAGCGUGGGGAGCAAACAGGAUUAGAUACCCUGGUAGUCCACGCUGUAAACGAUGAUCACUGGAUGUGGGUUUUGCUUAGCAGAAUCCGUGUCGAAGCUAACGCGUUAAGUGAUCCGCCUGAGAAGUACGGUCGCAAGAUUA